GGACACUGUAACGGCACCCCCCCCCCCCCCGCCACACACACACACAGAGAAAAUCUUACUUAAGCUUCUCCAGAAAUAUUCAUCAUAAUUGAGUUUUAGAACUGUCGGAGUCUCUACAAAAAUGUGCAAUGUAGCUAAACUUCCUAUUUUCCUGUUGCUCUAUUUUACUUGGCCACUGGCUUGGAAGAGAUCAGCACUCCAGGUACCAAAUGCCCCUUUUCCUAGUUUUUCACAAACAUUUAUCCAGUAUAGUAGUUUGUAAAAUAUGUGUUUGUGAAUGCAAAAUGUGAUUAAAAAAGACACAUCCUUUAAUAAGGCCUCUGGCGUUUGCUGGAGCUUCAUAGAGAUGUCUACAUUUCUCAGAGAAGAGAAGUCACCAAUUGGGCUCCAUGGCAACAGCUGACAAGGAAAGGGAAGAUAGGGGAUAAGAAGCUCUCCCCUUCUCAGGCACUGUCCUUGAAGGAUUAACUUGCCCAGAACAGUGAAAUAAAAAGCUGCUUUUAUAUGAACUUCUGCAGACUGUGAACUCCUGAGCCCCCUCUUUCUCCUCCCACCCCUCUGCCCUAUCUAGAGUUCAUCUAUUCCUCCCAUGCUUCCCCUCCCUAGCCCACUAUGAAUCAGCCUGGGUAUAAAGUUCUGAAACUACCUGAACUCGGGGUUCAAGGGAUUAAUUGAUUUCAGUGAAAGCUGUACCCUCUGAACCUGGCUGCAGCCAAAUAAAACUGUUUCCUG
Molecule: long non-coding RNA, 732 nt
Filed under: Marmota monax (woodchuck)
Lineage: Eukaryota; Metazoa; Chordata; Mammalia; Rodentia; Sciuridae
Source: RNAcentral